RNAcentral lists this transfer RNA (76 nucleotides) under Candidatus Omnitrophota bacterium. Its description in RNAcentral is "tRNA-Thr". It matches the Rfam family "tRNA". From Rfam's summary of the family: Transfer RNA (tRNA) molecules are approximately 80 nucleotides in length. Their secondary structure includes four short double-helical elements and three loops (D, anti-codon, and T loops). Further hydrogen bonds mediate the characteristic L-shaped molecular structure. tRNAs have two regions of fundamental functional importance: the anti-codon, which is responsible for specific mRNA codon recognition, and the 3' end, to which the tRNAs corresponding amino acid is attached (by aminoacyl-tRNA synthetases). tRNAs cope with the degeneracy of the genetic code in two manners: having more than one tRNA (with a specific anti-codon) for a particular amino acid; and 'wobble' base-pairing, i.e. permitting non-standard base-pairing at the 3rd anti-codon position. The record is from RNAcentral. Lineage: Bacteria; Pseudomonadati; Candidatus Omnitrophota.
GCCGGCGUGGCUCAGUUGGUAGAGCAGGGCUUUCGUAAAGCUCAGGUCGGUGGUUCGAAUCCACUCGCCGGCUCCA